Molecule: ribosomal RNA, 308 nt
Filed under: uncultured eukaryote
Lineage: Eukaryota
Description: partial 18S ribosomal RNA
Rfam family: Eukaryotic small subunit ribosomal RNA
Source: RNAcentral
CCCUUAGACGCUCUGGGCCGCACGCGCGCUACACUGACGAAGGCAACGAGCUUUCCUUUACCGAAAGGUACGGGUAAUCUUUUGAAACUUCGUCGUGCUGGGGAUAGAUCCUUGCAAUUUUUGAUCUUAAACGAGGAAUGCCUAGUAAGCGCAAGUCAUCAACUUGCGUUGAUUACGUCCCUGCCCUUUGUACACACCGCCCGUCGCUACUACCGAUUGAAUGGUUUAGUGAGGCCUUCGGAUCCGCGACUCGUUUUGUGGAGAAGUUGGACAAACUCAGUCAUUUAGAGGAAGUAAAAGUCGUAACA